Molecule: long non-coding RNA, 1100 nt
Filed under: Physcomitrium patens
Lineage: Eukaryota; Viridiplantae; Streptophyta; Bryopsida; Funariales; Funariaceae
Description: long non-coding RNA (PPAT_LNC002840)
Source: RNAcentral
UUUCUCAAACAAAGACAAUAAUGAUGUCAAUAGCAAUAGAGCUUUAUUCUUGUCUUCUAAUUUGACAUCAAUGUUGAUCAAUUUACAAAGGAUUUCAUUGAAGGCAUUUAGGUAUUCCAAUACACCAAUGCUUCUUUUAUUUGUAAGUUAUACAAUUGCUGCUUUAAGAAUAGUCAAAUUGUUAGCAAUUUGGUCAUGUUCAAACUCUCCAAUUUUGUCUAUAACUUAGGUGUUGAGCUCUUGUUUAUGACAUUGUAUAACAUCUUGUUUGCAAGUCUUUUGCAAAUUAUACAUACAAUUCUUAAGUUGAUCUCCUCACAUUCUUUGUUAGUAUUAUAUGUGGGUUUCUUUCCUAAUGCUUUAUGCAAUCCUUGUUGUACAAGCAAGUCACAACCUGAAAUUAUUCUUCCCAACAAAUUUACCCACCUCAAAUUUUGCAUCAUAGACCUUUGCUACCAUUACAUUUCUUCAAUCUUAGCUUUGAUACAAAUUGCUGCAUUUGGAUAUUAAUGCACACUCAAAGAACAUGAGUCUGUUGUAGAUGCAACAGUCAAUGAUAUCACUAGCAAUAACAUUGAAACAAAAAUUGCAUCUACAAGUAGAAUAAUUUAUGAGAAACUGCUUCAUGGAGAACACUCAUUGACCUUAGAUUUUAAUUUUUUAACAUUAAACUAAAAUUUUCUUGAUCUAUACAAAGUUCAUAGCAAUGGUGUUCAUGUCAAGGCUGCAGCUGAUGGUUGCAGCAAUGGUGAUGAUCAAAAGAAGAUACAUAAGAGUGAGCAGACCAAGCCAUUGGUGACAAUACUAAAAGAAGGGCUGCUCUUAAUUGCACUUCCAUACAUGUCUUAUCUGAUCUUUCUAUUUUUCACACUCAUUGCAUCCCAUACUGGAGCUAAAAUUAUAUAUAUAUAUAUAUAUAUUAUUUUUAAUUACUAAUAUUUACAUUGAAUGUACAUGAUUUUUAAUUAUUUUUAUUGGAUGUCACUGUGAUACCCAAAUAAAACUCACAAUUCAAAAACAUGUAAAACAAUGAAUUCAUACUCUCUUUGAAAUACUAAACCUAUUAAGAAAAAAAUAUUUCAAAAUACACAUAUCUACAC